Molecule: ribosomal RNA, 764 nt
Filed under: uncultured Streptococcus sp.
Lineage: Bacteria; Bacillati; Bacillota; Bacilli; Lactobacillales; Streptococcaceae
Description: bacterial SSU rRNA
Rfam family: Bacterial small subunit ribosomal RNA
Source: RNAcentral
GACGAACGCUGGCGGCGUGCCUAAUACAUGCAAGUAGAACGCUGAAGAGAGGAGCUUGCUCUUCUUGGAUGAGUUGCGAACGGGUGAGUAACGCGUAGGUAACCUGCCUUGUAGCGGGGGAUAACUAUUGGAAACGAUAGCUAAUACCGCAUAACAAUGGGUGACUCAUGUCAUUUAUUUGAAAGGGGCAAAUGCUCCACUACAAGAUGGACCUGCGUUGUAUUAGCUAGUAGGUGAGGUAACGGCUCACCUAGGCGACGAUACAUAGCCGACCUGAGAGGGUGAUCGGCCACACUGGGACUGAGACACGGCCCAGACUCCUACGGGAGGCAGCAGUAGGGAAUCUUCGGCAAUGGGGGCAACCCUGACCGAGCAACGCCGCGUGAGUGAAGAAGGUUUUCGGAUCGUAAAGCUCUGUUGUAAGUCAAGAACGAGUGUGAGAGUGGAAAGUUCACACUGUGACGGUAGCUUACCAGAAAGGGACGGCUAACUACGUGCCAGCAGCCGCGGUAAUACGUAGGUCCCGAGCGUUGUCCGGAUUUAUUGGCCGUAAAGCGAGCGCAGGCGGUUUGAUAAGUCUGAAGUUAAAGGCUGUGGCUCAACCAUAGUUCGCUUUGGAAACUGUCAAACUUGAGUGCAGAAGGGGAGAGUGGAAUUCCAUGUGUAGCGGUGAAAUGCGUAGAUAUAUGGAGGAACACCGGUGGCGAAAGCGGCUCUCGGGUCUGUACUGACGCUGAGGCUCGAAAGCGUGGGGAGCAAACAGG